Molecule: long non-coding RNA, 1007 nt
Organism: Coregonus clupeaformis (lake whitefish)
Lineage: Eukaryota; Metazoa; Chordata; Actinopteri; Salmoniformes; Salmonidae
Exons: 5
Source: RefSeq, a predicted model, not a curated record
CUGGUUGGUUGAAGAGGAAGGGAGCGAGCGAGAGUUGCCUGCCUGCCAUGAGUUGAACCCCAUCUGACGCAGACGUUCCAACUUAGAGUUCCCAGUUGUCUUGAAAGCACCAUAAAUCCAGAGAAUGCCAGACUUUGAUGCCAAAGUUUGUCCACAAAGGACCGCCACGCCACCUUCCUGUUGAAGUGAGCACAGCACAACAAGUCCCUGCUGCUCCCGUGCCCUUCGACGCUCUUCAGGAAAGUCAGCUCUUUGAUACAGAGAACUCAGAGCCUCUGAUCCCCAUCGGAGGGCGCUAUUUAUCCACCAACGGCCAGCCCAGAACCAGGAGCCCCCAGGAGAUCGCAGUACCACCGAACCCCACACGGAGGCACUAAUGGCACAGCGCAGCCCCCACAACGCCACAGACACAGAGGGACAGAGGCCUCCAUCAUCUUUGGGGAUGAAAGCAGCUCCUCUGACCACAGUGACUUGGAAAGCUCCGUCAGCCCUCUGCGGGCUGUCUGCCUACGCCUACGUUUCCCAGCAGCCCUCACUCCACAGGAAGUGCCCCCAGUCAGGAAACAAGCUCUUCUGUUCUUGAAGCGAGAUAAGCUGCAGCCCUCUCUGUCUUCGGGAAGAAGGAGUACAACAGUGCCAAGACCCGCCUCCCAGAACCAGUUCCGGUGUUGUCCAAUAGCAGGCCAGCGCUUGUUCCUGAGGAUGAAUAUCUGAUAGACGAUUGACUGGAGGAUGAUAUGGUGUCGUCGUCUACCAUUAGGGGUUUCUCACUGAGGAAGACCGACAACGACCCCCGAUCUUCCACGCCGCCCCAGAACCACCACAGCACUCAGCAGGUCAGAGAGAUCAAGUGAGAGCUGACCUGGGUUCAAAUAGUAUUUCAAAUUUGAACAUUUGCUUUAGCCUGCCUGCAGUGCCAGGUGUGCAGGGUUUGGAUACUAUGAAGCCGUUUUUAUCUCCAUAUCAAACCAUUUCUGGGUAACAAUUACCUGUCAUUGUUUUAAAUU